CCCAUGUCCCCUCUGUCCCCUACCACAUUUCAAUUUUAACUAUGUCCACAGUGUCCCUUUAAUGUGAUGCAUCUUAUAUAUAUCAACUUGCGUGUUGUAUUGUCCAUUUUGCAUGUCCCUCUGGUGCGGGUCGCCGUCUUUGUUGCCUAUCUCGCUCUGCGUUCCAGCCAUUCCCUGGGGAGCAGGCCCAGCGCCCUGGGCCCCCUUGGUGGUAAGGCCAGGUCUCCCGUUACCUCGAUACCCAGUUCCUGGAGGACACCUCUGGGGUCCAUGGAUGGUGUCAGCACUGUCGGUCUUGGGCCAUUAAAGAUGAGCAUCUUAAAGGGGAAGCCCCAUGCGAAGCGCAGGCCUUUGGCUCUGAGGAGGUCAGCGAUGGGUUUCCAUUCUCUUCUUCUUGCGAGGGUAGUUGGAGCGAUGUCUUGGUAGAUCUGUAGCGCCGUUCCUUUAUACAUGUAAUGCUGGAGCCUGCUUUGCUUGAGAAUUGCUUCUUUCGUGGAAAAAAAGUGCCACCUGAUGAUGACAUCUCUGGGAAGGCUGUUUUGCGGUCCCUUAGCUCGCAGUGCCCUGUGUAUUCUGUCGAUGUGCCACAGCUGAUCUGGUAUCUGUGGUAGGCUGGCGCGGUAAAUCUGCGCCAUUAGCUGCUCAAGGUCUCCAUCUGCGACCUCCUCUGGUAGGCCUCUUAUGCGCAUGUUGUUGCGCCGUGUUCUAUUAGAGUUGUCUUCCAGCUCCAUUUCCAGUUCAGCUACCCUGAUGAGUAGUGCGUUUGUGGUUGUGGUAUUAUCAUUCUGUGCUGCUACCACAUCUUUUAGCCUGCUCUCUAGGGCCUCUGUACGAAUGCCUAUGGCCUGGAUUUCUGCCUUCACCUCCCUAGCUGAUCUGUCUAUCUCCCCUGCCAGAUACCCCUUUACCUCCUCCAGAGAGUGGAGUAUAGCAUUCUGGGGGUCCUCCGUGUGCCCAAAUAGUGAGGAUGUCGGCGUGGCCGGUGAGCCAGGAGCGGAGGUGCCCGUCGGGCUUUCCGCGCCAUGUGCACCACGUGGCGCGGGCUUAAUGGCAGCCAGCAUGUCCGCUACAGAGGGAUUGCCGCCUUUCUGUUUCUUUGCCGCCGCCUUCCUUUGUGACAUGUUGCUCGGGGGGCACUGCGAUUUUGCCGAUACCAGCGUUGUGCGUAGGGGUGUUUUUUAUGGAUAAGUGCGGAUUGCCGGGCGGGUUACUGAGCCUCUGGUGUGGAGCUCUGGAGUUAGGCUGCCAUCACUCUCGGAGUCCAAGCCACGCCCCCCUGCCUACUGGCUUUUAAAGUGUAAAGCUGGUGUGUGUGUGUGUGCGCGUUUGUUAGUGUGUGUCAGAUCAGCAAGUGUGUGUGUGCCUGUCAGUGAGUGUUUCUGUUUAGGUGACUGCCUCCACCCCCCUUUCAUUCAAAUGGGAGAGGUGUUUUUACUCUCCUCUUGGUGCAAUGGGCCAUUUGACUGGAUUUGCCCCCCAGGUUUAAAGUGAUACUCCAGGCACCCAGACCACUUCUGCCCAUUGGAGUGGUCUGGGUGACAACUCCCACUACCCUUAAACCUGCAAGUGUAAUUAUUGCAGUUUUCAUAAACUGCAAUAUUUACAUUACAGGGUUAAGUCCUCCUCUAGUGGCUGUCUACUACUACUCAUAGAACACAAAAACUGUUUUAAAACAACGCUGGACGUCCUCAUGCUAUGUGAGUACCUCCAGUGUCGCCAUAAUCCCCAUAGGAAAGCAUAUAAGGUCUAAUUCGCAUGUGCGGCCAUUGCCGUGCAUGCGCAUUAGGUCUCUCCACCGCCAGCUGGCGUAGGUGGAGCCUGACCCAGCACGAGGCACAUCGGCGCUGGACUCUGGUAAGUCACUGAACCCUUCAGCAACUUGGGAUGGGGGGUGGGAGGUAGAGGGGCACUAGCGGGUCCUGCAGUGCCAGGAAAACGAAUACACACAUACACACAGACAAACCCCACAGAGGAAAGCACCAAAUUGAAGUGGAUGAAUCAGAAAGGCUAACCUACCAACACACGUGGUCCUGCCCCUAUGAUUAAUAAAGAAUGAACUACUUCUGCAUUGGAAUAACCAAUUUAAAUGAGAGACCUUAUAUUAGACAUUAAUGUAAUAAGAGAUUUUCAAAGGUGGAGCAUUCCAACGUUGCAGGUUAACUAACUGAAUCCCAUAGAAACAUAUUGUGACCCUGAUACUCCACAAUUUUAUCAAUAACUUGGACUUUGCAAAGAACAUUAAAUUGCUACAGUAAUUAUACAACACAUAAGCUAUCAAAAGUCAAUGAGUCUGCACUAAGCAGAAUUUACGAAUAAAGAAAAAAAAAUUCUUUAUUUGUUUAAAAUAUUUUUUAUUUUUGUAGUGCAUAGUUUUACAGAUAUGCUUGCAUUAACAAUUCAGAUGAUUAUAUAUCACAAUGAAAGAUAGUAAUGAUAACAUGAAAAGGGGCGUAAAGAACACUAUUGGACAGGGG
Molecule: long non-coding RNA, 2474 nt
Filed under: Pelobates cultripes (western spadefoot toad)
Lineage: Eukaryota; Metazoa; Chordata; Amphibia; Anura; Pelobatidae
Source: RNAcentral